UAGGGAAUAUUGGGCAAUGGAGGCAACUCUGACCCAGCCAUGCCGCGUGCAGGACGAAGGCGCUCAGCGUUGUAAACUGCUUUUGCCCUUGAAGAACGGCAGACCUGCGGGUUUGUGUGACGGUAAAGGGUGAAUAAGCACCGGCUAACUCCGUGCCAGCAGCCGCGGUAAUACGGAGGGUGCAAGCGUUGUCCGGAUUUAUUGGGUUUAAAGGGUGCGUAGGCGGGCUGUUAAGUCUGGUUUGAAAGCUGGUGGCUUAACCAUCAGAUGUGGCUGGAUACUGGGAGUCUUGAAAUUGUUGGAGGCAGCCGGAACGGGUCGUGUAGCGGUGAAAUGCAUAGAGAUGACCCAGAACACCAAUUGCGUAGGCAGGCUGCUACGACUGAUUUGACGCUGAGGCACGAGAGCAUGGGGAGCAAACAG
RNAcentral lists this ribosomal RNA (423 nucleotides) under uncultured bacterium. RNAcentral describes it as "bacterial SSU rRNA". It matches the Rfam family "Bacterial small subunit ribosomal RNA", at positions 355 to 775 of the family's 1533-position model. The record is from RNAcentral.